Molecule: non-coding RNA, 94 nt
Organism: Sodiomyces alkalinus F11
Lineage: Eukaryota; Fungi; Ascomycota; Sordariomycetes; Glomerellales; Plectosphaerellaceae
Source: the annotation of a RefSeq genome assembly
GGUUCUAUGGUCUAGUGGUUAGGACAUUCGGUUUUGAUUCGCUCUCGAAGCUUCAAAACUCCGAAUAGCCCCGGUUCGAACCCGGGUAGGACCU